This 450-nucleotide ribosomal RNA is filed under the name uncultured bacterium. Its description in RNAcentral is "partial 16S ribosomal RNA". It matches the Rfam family "Bacterial small subunit ribosomal RNA", at positions 354 to 796 of the family's 1533-position model. The record is from RNAcentral.
GUGGGGAAUAUUCCGCAAUGGACGAAAGUCUGACGGAGCAACGCCGCGUGAGUGAUGAAGGUUUUCGGACUGUAAAGCUCUGUUGUUUAGGACGAAAGUGCCUGUUGCGAACAGUUACAGGUAUUGACGGUACUGAACGAGGAAGCCACGGCUAACUACGUGCCAGCAGCCGCGGUAAUACGUAGGUGGCAAGCGUUGUCCGGAAUUAUUGGGCGUAAAGAGCAUGUAGGCGGGAAUCUAAGUCUGUUGUGAAAAUGCGGGGCUCAACCCCGUAUGGCGAUGGAAACUGGAUUUCUUGAGUGCAGGAGAGGAAAGGGGAAUUCCCAGUGUAGCGGUGAAAUGCGUAGAUAUUGGGGGGAACACCAGUGGCGAAGGCGCCUUUCUGGACUGUGUCUGACGCUGAGAUGCGAAAGCCAGGGUAGCGAACGGGAUUAGAAACCCGGGUAGUCC